This 263-nucleotide ribosomal RNA is filed under the name uncultured bacterium. RNAcentral describes it as "partial 16S ribosomal RNA". It matches the Rfam family "Bacterial small subunit ribosomal RNA", at positions 793 to 1055 of the family's 1533-position model. The record is from RNAcentral.
GUCCACGCCGUAAACGAUGAGAACUAGCUGUUGGGGGGAUAAAGCCUCUUAGUAGCGAAGCUAACGCGAUAAGUUCUCCGCCUGGGGAGUACGACCGCAAGGUUAAAACUCAAAGGAAUUGACGGGGCCCGCACAAGCGGUGGAGCAUGUGGUUUAAUUCGACGCAACGCGAAGAACCUUACCUACCCUUGACAUCUUGUGAACUAUCCAGAGAUGGAUUGGUGCCUUCGGGAGCACAAAGACAGGUGCUGCAUGGCUGUCGU